Molecule: ribosomal RNA, 253 nt
Filed under: uncultured bacterium
Lineage: Bacteria
Description: partial 16S ribosomal RNA
Rfam family: Bacterial small subunit ribosomal RNA
Source: RNAcentral
UACGUAGGGUGCGAGCGUUGUCCGGAAUUAUUGGGCGUAAAGGGCUCGUAGGCGGUUUGUCGCGUCGGGAGUGAAAACGCCGUGCUUAACACGGCGCUUGCUUUCGAUACGGGCAGACUAGAGGUAUGCAGGGGAGAACGGAAUUCCUGGUGUAGCGGUGAAAUGCGCAGAUAUCAGGAGGAACACCGGUGGCGAAGGCGGGUCUCUGGACAGUUCCUGACGCUGAGGCACGAAGGUCAGGGGAGCAAACGGG